CCUUAUCUCCCACGAGAAUGAAGACCAUUCUCAGCAAUCAGACUGUCGACAUUCCAGAAAAUGUGGACAUCACUCUUAAGGGACGUACAGUUAUCGUGAAGGGUCCCAGAGGAACCCUGCAGAGGGACUUCAAUCACAUCAAUGUAGAACUUAGUCUCCUUGGAAAGAAAAAGAAGAGGCUCCGAGUUGACAAAUGGUGGGGAAAUAAAAAGGAACUGGCUACUGUUUGCACUAUGUGUAGUCAUGUACAGAAUAUGAUCAAGGGUGUCACACUGGGUUUUCAUUACAAGAUGAGGUCUGUGUAUGCUCACUUCCCCAUCAACGUUGUUAUCCAGGAGAAUGGGUCUCUUGUUGAAAUACGAAAUUUCUUAGGUGAAAAAUACAUCUGCAGGGUUCGGAUGAGGCCAGGUGUUGCUUGUUCAGUAUCUCAAGCACAGAAAGAUGAGUUGAUCCUCGAAGGAAAUGACAUUGAGCUUGUUUCAAAUUCGGCUGCAUUGAUUCAGCAGGCCACAACCGUUAAAAACAAGGAUAUCAGAAAAUUUGGGGAUGGUAUCUAUGUCUCUGAAAAACGAACAGCUCAGCAGGCUGAUGAAUAAGAUCUAAGAGUUGUCCAGCCACAUUAAGACACCACAUGAUUACUAAGAUGUAUUUGUAAUUUUGAUGGUGCAAUAAA
Molecule: non-coding RNA, 673 nt
Organism: Microcebus murinus (gray mouse lemur)
Lineage: Eukaryota; Metazoa; Chordata; Mammalia; Primates; Cheirogaleidae
Source: RefSeq, a predicted model, not a curated record